CCCUGGACUCCAGCAUGCCCUGGACUCAGCCUCAGGGGAGGACUCUAGAGAACUCCCAAUACCAUGAACCAGCAUCAACCCACGUGCAAGAGUCCAGGGAGACAGAACACACACACAACCAGUUAUGAAAGCAACUUUAUUACUCACAGGCAGGCAGCAGGGAACAGCAGAAGCUUAGGAUCCAUGGUGAGCGGGUCCCCGAGGCUCGGGAAAGCUGCCCAGAACGAAUGGAGCCUUGUCUAUGUGUGUCCCGCUUCACACCACAGCUGAGAGAUCCCAAAGGUGCACUCUGCUCUGGGUUCCAUAGCCAGGGGUGACUCAUAGGGCUACAGUGUGUGGGACAUCCUGCCCUAGGAGGCACAGGAGCAGAGCCAGGGCUGUCCGGCCGGUCCUUCCCUAGACCAGGUGGUUGCAUUCCUGGCACAUUCUUCAGGUAUUCUCGAGAAGUACGCGUGAGAAGGGAGGGGCUUGUUCAUUCCAAGGCCACCUGGGACUUGUCCUGCAGAUGCCAAGGCAGAAUAGGAAGUGGAUUUAUGGGAUGGGGGCUCCCUGCGAGGGGUAGAAGGGAGAUGAAGGAGGGGCAGGUGGGGAACCCCAGGUGGGGGUGUGGUUGUGGCACCUGUGGAAGGAGAGGGAAGGUAGGUGGCUGGGCAGGACCAGCCUCAGACUGCAGUUCGAGACCGUACUAGCCAGGCUCGGAGGAGCCCUGGGGAAAGAACGCCUUUCGGGGGAGCCCCUGCGCGUGGAACAUUCUGAGUCUACACCUGCCAUUGCCCAAACUGGACUUCCAGCCUCUGGUACCUCAUGUGAGGAGCUCAGGAGCCGCUGCUCCACCCUAACAACAAGUCAGCUGAGCAGACUGAAAAUCAACAAUUCUUCCCACACCCAAAACAGCGGUGAAGACGUAGGUACCUGGUACACCCAAGACUUGAGGGGCUGACGGGCGCUGGCCUGUCAAUGACGGGGCCAUGGUUUGCCGGAGCAGAGACGCAUCCGUGGAAACCACCUCAGGAGCCUGUUCCAGGGCGGGGAAACCCGAACUGUAGCUGAUAGAUCCCUGGAGGCUCAGUGUGGGCAACUCCAAACUCCUCCGGGGACCCAGUCAUGGCAGACACCACGGGGGGAUCCAGUCAUGGGGGACACCAUGGGGGGACCCAGUCCUGGGGGACACCACGGGGGGACCCAGUCAUGGGGACACCACGGGGGCACCCAGUCAUGGGGGACACCACGGGGGGACCCAGUCGUGGCGGACAUCAUGGCGGGGGGACCCAGUCAUGGGGGACACCACGGCAGGGGGACCCAGUCAUGGUGGACACCGCACGUAUGUGAGUUUUACCCCAGGAGUUCUACCACAUUCUCACAGUGAAUAUCAGAAAAAUCUCAUUCUGCAGGUAGGAGGAUGGAAAAUGGAAUCAUUUUGAAACACACCAGAACAUUCUGUCCUUAACAAGAGCUGCCCUCAGGAGAAACUGUUCAGCUAGACUAUAACCUGCCAGGGGAAGAGAAAUAUCCAACUUCCGCCCCCUCGAGCCAUCCUGUCUCAUCUAAGAAAGUGAGGGGUGGGCGGCUGAGAAACCCUUGUGAAGCUCACAGCCCAAUGCACAGUUUCACUAAAGACUGAGGCCUGGUUAGAAGGUUCUAGAAUGCUUCCCCUCCCCCCACAUCUUACAACCACAUCACUAAAGGCAUCUUUACGGCAGGUCUUUAUACUCUGUACAUCAUGUCUGGCUAUCAAGAAAAUAUUACAAGACAUACUAAAAGGCAAAAAAAAAAAAAAAAAAAAAAAAAAAAAAAAACCCAUACCAGAAUUUGAGGAGCCAAAACAACCAUUAAAACCAGACAAGGCAGUUAUGUUGGAAUUAUCAGACCAGGAAUUUAAAACAGCAAUGAUUAAGAUGCCAAGAGCUCUAGUGGGUAAAGUAGACAGCACACAGGAACAGAUGGACAAUGUAAGCAGACAGAUGGAAAGUCUAGGAAGGAACCAAAAAGAAACAUAAAGAUAGAAAACACGGCAACAGAAAUGAAGACUGCCUUUGAUAGGCUCAUUAGGAGACUGGACACAGCUGAGGAAAAAGCCUCUGAGCUUGAGGAUAGCUCAAUAGAAAUUUCCAAAAGUGAAAGGCAAAGAGAACAAUCACUAAAAAAAAAAAAAAAAAUAAAAGAACAGAAUAUACAAAAGCUGUAGGACACCCAUAAAAGGUGUAACACAAAUAAUACCAGAAGCAGAAGAAAGGAAGGAAGGAAGGAAGAAAGGGACAACAAAAAAACUGAAACAAUAAUGACUGAGGGAUCCUCCAAAUUAAUGUCAGACACCAAACCACAGAUCCAGGAAGCUCAGAGAACACCAAGCAGGAUAAAUGCCAAAACAAAACAAAACAAAACAAAAAACACUGCCCCCAAAGAAAACAAACAAGUAAACAAAAUGACACCUAGGCAUCUCAUAUUUAAACUAUGUAAAAUCAAACAUGAACAAAUUUUGAAAGAAGCCAGAAAAAACCUCCCAACACCAACACCUUGCCUGUAGCGGAACCAAGAUAAGAAUGACAUCCACCUUCUCUCAGGAACCAUGUGUCUGAGUCCAUUUUCUACCACUGUAACAGAAUGCCACAGAUGGGGUAAAUUAUCAGGAAGUUUAUUUGGCUCACAGUUCUGGGAGAUGGGAAGUCCAGGAGCUUGGUGCUGGCAUCUGGCCAGGGUCAGUCUAUGGUGAGGGGCAGAGCAGGGACGCAAGCAGGGGAGACAGAGAAAAAAUCAGCCUGAACUCAUCCUUUUAUCAGGAGCCCACUCCCAAGACAACGCACACACUCCUGAGUUAAUGGCACUAAUCUGCUCACGAGGGUGAAGCCCUCAGGAGCUAAUCGCCUCUCAAGGGUCCCAUCUCUCAGUAUUGUCUCAAUGGCAAUUAAAUUUCAACAGGACUUUUGGAGGGGACAUCUGAACCACAGCACCACACAGCAGGAAGAGAGCGGAGUGAGAUAUUUAAAGUGUUGAGAGAAAAAAACCCACCAAGCUAAAAUUGUGCACCCCAUGAAAUUAUCCUUCAAAAGUGAAGGAGAAAUAAAGACUUUUUCAGGAAAACAAAAAUUGAGGGAAUUUGUCGUCAGUAGACUUGCCUUGCAAAAAUCUUGAAGCUUUUUAAAGAGAGGAAAGCAAUAUAGAUCAGAAACUCAAAUCCACGUAAAGAAAGGAGGAACACCAAAGAAGGAACAGUGAGGUAAAAUAAAAUUUUUAAUAUUCUUAUUCUUAGCUGAUCUAACAGAUAACAGCUCUAAAUAAUAACAACAAUGUAUUUAAUUAUAUAUGGCUCCUUAUGUAUCUUGUGUGUGUCUUAUGUACAUAUAUGCUUACAUAUGCUUAGACAUGAUGGAAACAAAUGGCAUAAAUCAUGCAAAGGACACGAAGAAGGAGCUAAGAUUAUGUUGUUGCUGUAAGGAACUCAUGUUACCUGUGAAGCAGUGGAGUGUUUGAAAGUAGACUUGGAUUAAUUGGGGAUGAUAUUGCAAAUUCUAGUGCAAUCACUAACAUAUUCUAAGAAAGGAGAGAAAUGGAACUGAGCAUAUAAGAUGCUCAAUUAGAAUCAUAAAAGGCAGAAAAAGAGUGGGAAAAAAAAACAGGAAAAAAGAACAAGGGCAAAAAAAUAGAAAGUGGUAACAAAAUGGCAGAUGUUAAUCCCAUUAUAUGAAUAAUUACUUUGAACAUCAAUGGUCUAAAUACAACAAUUAAAAAAACAGGGAUUUUUGGCAGGGCGAGGUGGCUCACACCUGUAAUCCCAGCACUUUGGGAGGCUGAGGCAGGCAGACCACAAGGUCAAGAGAUCAAGACCAUCCUGGACAACAUGGUGAAACCUCGUCUCUACUUAAAAAAAAAAACAUGGUGGCAUGCACAUGUAGUCCCAGCUACUCGGGGGGCUGAGGCAGAAGACAUUUUGAACCCAGGAGGAGAAUCGUUUGAACCCAGGAGGCGGAGGUUGCAGUGAGCCGAGAUGGCACCACUGCACUUCGGCCUGGCAACAGAGUGAGACUCUGAAAAACAAAACAAAACAAAACAAAAAAAACAGAGAUUUUAAAAUCAGAGUGGAUAAAAAAUGAUACCCAACUAUAUAUUGUCUACAAGAAACACACUUUACAGUUAGAUACAUAUAGACUAAAAGUAAAUGAGUAGAAAAAGAGACACUGUGUUUACACUGAUGGAAAGAAAGCAGGAGUAGCUAUUUUAAUUUCAGACAAGGCAGACUUCAGAGCAAAGAAAGCUACCAGGGAUGAAGAGAAAGCAUUUCAUAAUGAUAAAGGGGUCGAGUUGUUCAAGAAGACAUAACAAUCCUUAAGGGAUAUGAAUCAAACCGUGUGAGGCAAAAACUGCAAGGAGAAAGCUAUGAAUCCAUGAUCAUGGUUGGAGACUUUAACACGCUCAGUCAGAUAUGACUGAAUUGUCUCCCCAAAAGUUUAUUUAUUGUGCCUUGACCUCAAAUGUGACUGUUUGCAGAAAAGGCUUUUAGGAGGUAAUUGAGGUGCAAUGAGAUCACAAGGGUGGGGUCCUAAUUCAACACCACUGGUGGCUUUCUAAAAAGAGGAUGAGAUUCUCCACCACACAUGUAUCACAGAAAGGCCACGUGAGGAUACAGCGAGAAGGUGGCUGUCUGCAAGCCAGGAAGAGAGCCCUCACCAGAACCUGACUGUGCUGGCACCCUGAUUUUGGACUCCCAGCCUCCAGAACUAUGAGAAGUGUCUGCUGUUUCAGAGACCGGGUUGGUGUGGUAUUUUGUUAGGGCAGCCUGAGCAGAACGAGACAACUCCAAUUCUGCUGAGCGAGUGGUGGGGAUGCCUGGAGGCCGUGGCCCCACUCCUCAGUGUGGGUCUCUAGAGGGGAGGUCUGAGCAGGCACCAUGGUGGCCAGUCCAUGCCUCGGGCCACACAGUCCGACUUCUCCACCCAUGUUGGGGGAGGAGCUCCUCAUGGUUUCUGGGGCCUGUCCCCGAGAGAAGACUUUGCACAGUUAGUGGGGCACACCACAGCCUCCAGCCCUGCAGCUGGCCUCCAUCAUCGCUUCUCACUGGGCUGUGACAGGGGCUCCCUUCUUCCUCCAUCCUCGCUUUUCACCUCCUCUCCCUUGACUAUCACUUCUGUAGGUCUUGCGGGCUUCCCUGGCUAUGUGAGGAGACUGAACCCCUAAUGAUCACACUCUUACUGGGUUGGGGGUGGCUGCACCUGCCCAAGCACAGUGAUGCAGGGCAAGGGCACCCUGAGGUUGGCCUGGCCCCACGAGGUCCCUUCCUGCCUGUGUGCAGCUGCCCCACAUCCUCCGCUGCUCGGAGCCAGCUUCUCCACCAAGACAGCCACUCCUCUCCCGCCUCAACCCUGGACACCAGAGUCCCAGUUCCCGGCAGCAAGGACCUGAGUUGUGGCCCCUGUUAACAGCGUGCCCCCUUAGGAGAUGAGGACCCCCAGCCUUGCCAGCCAGUAUUUCAGGGUCAGGAAGCACCAGGCCCCAAGGGUCACUGGCGGGAAGGGGAGUAGAGAGCACCCCCACUUCUGCCUCUUGGUUCCAGGCUCCUGCUGGUCUUCCUGGUGGCGUCAGAUGUCACACGGUGCCCUGGGUUUCGUGUACCUGGAAGGUGGUGCACUGUCCCCCGGGUUCCUGGCCCCCAUCACACAGGGCUGACUCCAAGGGGGGCUUCAGCUGUGCCUCCAGCAACCGACCAUCCGGUACCUCUCAGUCCAGAAGCUUCUCCAUGGCAGGGUGGCUGAUGCAGCCAGGAGUCCCUUCACCCCGGCCCUGCCUUCGCUGAGCAGUUAAACGCUCUGGGGCGUUGUCACUCACAACUGGGGCUGGCGCUGGCCACUCGGCCUGGCCGCCCUUCCUCAGAGGAGACGAGUGCCUCUCUUCAGGGGCCCCUUGGGCUCUCACGGUUGGCAUAUGCCCUCAGUUUCCUGUUGCUCUUCCACUGGCAUCCACCACCUGGCAAUGCCCAGCCACCCUCCACCCCACGCCUCCCCAAUGCCUGAGCCACAGCCCCUGCCAGGACCUUCCCUCAACCGGUUGCUCUCCAGGCGGCUGCCGGUGCCACCUUGUCCCAGGAGCUACAUCUGCCUCAUUCUAGCUGCAGUGCUCGCUGCUAGACCACAACGGAGCCAGGCUUCCUAUGCUCUGGCAUUUUAAUGCCACCUCAUCAGAGUGAGGCAGGACCCAGGUGGCUUCCCCAGAGAGUUAACCCUGGAGGGAGGCACCGGCAUGAUUAAGACAGAGCCCAGAACCCAGGAAGGAGCCUUCCCCCAGCCACAGAGGGCAAAGACACAGCCUGGGAGGGGCUCUUGGAGAAAAAAAUCGGCAGCUUAUCUAACACGGAUGCACUUGGGAAUAAAGAAACUAAUACUAUGCAUUAGUGUUAGCUGGGACUACAGGUGUGGGCCAUCACACUCAGAUAAUUUUUGUAUUUUUAGUAGAAACAAGGUUUCGUUUCACCAUAUUGCCCAGGCUGGUCUUGAACUCCUGUCCUCAAGUGCUCUGCCCGCCUUGGCCUCCCAAAGUGCUGGGAUUACAGGCAUGAGCCACUGUGCCCAGCCCAGCAUAAAGCUCUUGAAUGGAAAUAGCAUUCCAGAGAAAGACCAGCACCUGCUCCCCCGACACUUCACACCCAGCCUCUGUGCAGGUGAAGGCGUGACUGAGAAAGACCAGCACCUGCUCCCCUGACACUUCACACCCAGCCUCUGUGUGCAGGUGAAGGCGUGACCGAGAAAGACCAGCACCUGCUCCCCCAACACUUCACACCCAGCCUCUGUGUGCAGGUGAAGGCGUGACUGAGAAAGACCAGCACCUGCUCCCCUGACACUUCACACCCAGCCUCUGUGUGCAGGUGAAGGCGUGAUGCUUUCCUCACUUUCCAACGGUGCACAGGUUUUGCUUGUGUAGUCUCUCCCCUUAGAUGGUCCUAGGGCCACUGUCCCCCAGGUUCCUGGUCUCUGCCUCAGCCGCCUCUGCCUGGCCCACCUGGGUCCAUGUGGUGCCACCUGGUGCUGACCUGUCACAGGGGCUGGGAGGGCACCGUCUCCCUCUUGGCUGUUCUUUUCUGCCACUUCCAGACGGGGGUGAAAUGCCGCCCUGCAAGUGGCCAAGAGCACUCGUGCUGAGCAACCUGCUGCAUCUCUUUGCAGCUUGUCACAGCCAGGUGUCAGACACUAACGCUGUUCCUGGCUUUGCUGCCAAUUCUUCCCUGAAUCACUACUGCCUGGAAUUGUAUUUUCUUAGUAAAUGACUCACGCUUAACCCUUGCCCCAGGCUGUUUUCUAGGCAGUCCUGGAGUAUCAGCUAUCUUUUGCUGCAUAGCAAACUGCUCCCAAAUUUAGUGGGUUAAACAAUUUUCUUUGCUCAUGAUUCUGUGGGUCAGGCUUUUGGGCUGGGCUCAGCUGGGCAGUUCUCUAUGGUUACUGUGCAGCUUGGCCAUCUGGCAGCUGUCCUGGGCUGGAUGUGGCAAUGCCUCUCAUGAGGCUGGCAGCUGGCGCCCGCCCCUGACUGGUUGGUCCAGGAGGCCUCAGCUGCUCCACGCAGCUGCUGCUACUCCAGAGGGCUAGACCUGGCUGCCUCACAGCCUUCAGGGAAGGUUCUGCAAGGCAGGAGCAGAAGCUGAGCAGCCUGGAGGCCUUUCCUGGGGUGGUCCCUCCUGGCUCCUCUGCCACUCUCUGUGGGUCAAGGUAAGUCACAGCCCAGCCUGGAUUCAAGGGACAGAGAAAAGUCUUCACCUCUUGAUAACAGAGCAGCAGAGUCUCAUUGCAGAGGCACGAGGCAAAGAAGGGAGGGAUUGUGCCAUCUUCACAGAUGUCCUGCGAUGCCAGUCUGAGACAACCGCCAUAACACUGUCCCUAAUGUUACUUUGGAAGACAGGAAACAGGAAUCUGGAGCCUAAAUUCCAGGGAGGGAGAGAUGAAGUUGUUGUUAUUUAGAUGAUGUAACUGAAAAUCUGGGGAAGGCGAAGGAGUCCAUUGAGAUGGCAUUAGGAUGAUCAGUGAAGCUUUAAUUUUAAUUUUUUCCAUCAGCGAGGGAGCCGGGUUUUCAGCUGCACGGAUGACAUUGAUGCACAGCACUUGCAAUGAGACCUUCAUCCCGUGUCUCCCUGUCUCCCAUCCCUCCUGGCUUACACUACUACCCUGUCACCACUUUGAGGGUUUUGCAGCAUCAACAGCUCUCUCUGGGUAGGUCGCCUCCCCCUGACACAAAGGUGCUCAGACGCCCUCCCACAACCCUCACUGCUAAGCUCAGGGGCUCUGUGUUCCCCUGACCCCCUUCCGCACCUUCCUCUUGCUCUUCACUGACUCUACCUCAGGCUCCACCCUCACGCCCCCACCUGAGCCUGAAGGGGCAGGGCUCCUCCGCGCCACACUCCCUCCUCAGCGGUCUCACCAGGACCUGUGUGCUGUACCUGCAAAACAGGGCACAUCCCAUCUUCCAUGUGUCAAUCAUCUUCCAUGUGUCAAUCAUCUUCCAUGUGUCAAUCAUCUACCAUGUCAGUCUUCCAUGUGUCAAUCAUCUUCCUUGUGUCAGUCUUCCAUGUGUCAAUCAUCUUCCUUGUGUCAAUCUUCCAUGUGUCAAUCAUCUUCCAUGUGUCAAUCAUCUACCACGUGUCAAUCUUCCAUGGGUCAAUCUUCCAUGUGUCAAUCUUCCAUGGGUCAAUAACAUAUUUCUGGCUUUUUUAUGCUCUGUCAGUUUUGAACUUCCCACUCUGGUCUUUUUUCCCUCUUAGAAUUAAUUAAUGGAAUUCCUACACCUGGCCUUAAAACCUGCCAGUUAGCUGGGUGUGUGGUGUGUGCCUGUGGUCCCAGCUGCUCAGGAGCUGAGGUAGGAGGAUCACUGCAGCCCAGGAGUUCAUGUCCAGCCUGGGCUACAGAGCAAGACACUAUCCCUUUGAAAAAAAACCUGCCAGCUCUCCCAAUUUCUGGUGAAAUAAAUCUUGACAAAGUAAGAAGUGAAAAAAAUUCCCUCUUUGUUUACAGCUGCAGAAAAGCAGACGCAAUUCUGUACCAUAAACCGCCCUACAGGUCUCAAAGACACAUUUGUACACCGUGUUCAUAGCAGCACUAUUCACAACAGCUAAAACAUGAAAGCGACCCAAGCCUCUGUCAAGGGAUGAGUGGGUGAGAAAAUGUGGCCCAUUCAUACGAUGGGAUGUUAUUCAGCCUUAAAAAGGAGGGAGAUUCCGAGACUCACCACAGCACGGAUGAACCUUGAGGACACUGUGCUGAGUAAAAUAAGCCUACACAAAAGGGCAAGUACUGUGUAAUUCCACGUAAGAGGUCCCUGGAGCAGUCACAAGUCACAUUCCCAGAGACAGAAGGUGGAAUGGUGGGUGCCGGGGUGGGGACGGGAGAGGGGGAAGUGAAUGUUUAAUGGUGGCGAGUUUCAGUUUGGGAAGACUAAAAGGUUCUGGAGAUGAAACCUUUUACAUCCUUUUACAUAUUAAACCUUUUACAUAUUAAAUAUAUUCAUGAUGUGCAGCCAUCAUGAACAUAUUUAAUACCUCUUAACCAAAUACUUAAAAUGGUUAAGAUGGUACAUUUUAUGUUUAUGUAUUUUACCACAAUGCUUUAUUUUUCUUCUUUUGGAAAAAAAGAGGCGAUGCUUAACCCUGAAGAAAAGCUGUGCAUGACUCGGGAGGGAAAGGCCCUUCCUGCAGGAGCCUCACCCCCCUCAGCAGCGUCUGCCUCAGGAGGGGAAGACCCUUCCUGCAGGAUCUCCCGAGCAGCGUCUGCCUCACAGAGAAACAAGCCAGACCUCAGCACUCGCUUGCAGACUCCAGACUGUGGAGGGUUUAGAAGACUCUGCCUGUGGCCCCCACUCUCAGAGCCCUGUUCUGCAAACCCAAGGGGAUCAACAGCCUUUCUGAUGUCUGCAUGGGUUUACUGUUGGCUACGUUUAAAUGACAACACAUGUUCUAAAGUAAAAAAUAAGCAAUGGGCCUGGUGCAGUGGCCCACGCCUGUAAUCCCAGCACU
This 9979-nucleotide long non-coding RNA is filed under the name Homo sapiens (human). RNAcentral's name for it is "HSALNT0317746". The record is from RNAcentral. Lineage: Eukaryota; Metazoa; Chordata; Mammalia; Primates; Hominidae.